Molecule: long non-coding RNA, 355 nt
Filed under: Trifolium pratense (red clover)
Lineage: Eukaryota; Viridiplantae; Streptophyta; Magnoliopsida; Fabales; Fabaceae
Description: long non-coding RNA (TPRA_LNC005906)
Source: RNAcentral
UAUCAAUUUCAUUUAAAAGAACUUAAUUUAUAGUAAAAAAAAAUAACUUGUAUUCAUGAAGAUGCCGAAACACUUUCCUCGCCAUCCUCAGUAAAAAUAUGUCACUCGGUUGAGCUUUGAAUAAAUUGACAACGAAAUAUAAGUCUUUUGUUCACAACCCUAANNCUUGAGUGUCGGUAUCAGACUUAAUACGAGAUGAUGAAAAAUAAGAAAUGAAGUUUGACAGUUUCGCACGUAGACGAUUAUGACAAUGCUCCACAAAUAUCUCUUCAAAUAUCAAAAUAUUCUUUGACUUGAAAUUCCCAUGCAUCACUCCCUGUUUUUUCGGGUCCGUCGCCGCGUCAAUGAUAUCUCU